RNAcentral lists this ribosomal RNA (500 nucleotides) under uncultured bacterium. Its description in RNAcentral is "partial 16S ribosomal RNA". It matches the Rfam family "Bacterial small subunit ribosomal RNA", at positions 29 to 523 of the family's 1533-position model. The record is from RNAcentral.
AGUGAACGCUGGCGGCAUGCCUUACACAUGCAAGUCGAACGGCAGCACGGGAGCAAUCCUGGUGGCGAGUGGCGAACGGGUGAGUAAUGUAUCGGAACGUGCCCAGUCGUGGGGGAUAACGUAGCGAAAGCUACGCUAAUACCGCAUACGAUCUAUGGAUGAAAGCGGGGGACCGUAAGGCCUCGCGCGAUUGGAGCGGCCGAUAUCAGAUUAGGUAGUUGGUGGGGUAAAGGCCUACCAAGCCGACGAUCUGUAGCUGGUCUGAGAGGACGACCAGCCACACUGGGACUGAGACACGGCCCAGGCUCCUACGGGAGGCAGCAGUGGGGAAUUUUGGACAAUGGGCGCAAGCCUGAUCCAGCAAUGCCGCGUGCAGGAUGAAGGCCUUCGGGUUGUAAACUGCUUUUGUACGGAGCGAAAAGGCUCUCUCUAAUACAGGGGGCUCAUGACGGUACCGUAAGAAUAAGCACCGGCUAACUACGUGCCAGCCGCCGCCGUAA